GACUUUUACCCCUAUGUCUAACACUACACUAUUUCUGACAGGUUUUUUUGCAAGUUGUAAUUUCUUUUAAAAUUAUUUAAAUUUCCUCCCUUUCUCUCUUUUCUAUGGAUCUAAAGAGAAAAAAAUCAGAAACAAAAAUCCUAGAAAAGGUUAAUAAAACAUGCGAUGGAAAGAAUUGAGAUCUUGAUAUUUGUUAGGCUGAUAUCCUAACAUCCAUAAAAAGAAAUAUGAAUCUUCUCUAAUUUAUUUUACUUUGAUCUUCUCGUACCUUCUUUCUCUGCACAUUUAUUUUUUUGACUCUAUUUUUUUAUCUCUGGAUUUUUCUUUAGGUUUAAUUUCAAGCUCUGUUUUCAAGAUCUGUUUUUUUUUUGUUUCUUUAGGAUCUGGUUGAAAACAUAUCAACACCAUCAGGAUUUUUCCGUCACGCCGCAUCUCCUCACCGCCUCGCCGCAUCUCCUCACCGCCUCGCCGCAUCUCCGCUACGUUGCAUCUCUUGCUCUGCCACCGCCACGUCUCCUUGUUCAGCGACCGCUGCAACUUCUUGCACCUCCAGCGUAACUCCUUGCACCUCCGCCGCCGCAACUCCUCCCACCACUCUGCCUCUGCUGUUCAUUCCACCUUCAGCAUCACCAAUCACCCUACACCUGCCCGAAAUGUUUUCUAUUUAUUUUUACUUUUGUUUGCCAUAUCCGUAUGUUACAUAAACUAGAAAGAGAAUAUGUAUAAGCCGUAAAGAUUGAAAUCAAAUUCUAAAAAUUGUAGAAGUUUUGUUUUUAAUGUGGUUGUUAUUUGUGCCAACUCAAGGUGUGUUGUAGCAAUUAGUGAAAAUGGCUUAGUGUUUAAAAUUACGUUUUUAGGGUUUUAUUUAGUGUUUAUGAUUUAGGGUUACACCUUUAAUGUUUAAGGUUAGGGUUUAGGUUUAGGAUUAGGGUUUAGAAUUUAAAGAUUUAGAUUUAGGGUUAUGUUUCAGGAUUAGGAUUUAGAAUUAGUGUUUAGGGUUUAGGAUUAGAAUUUUGUAUUUAGGGUUUAAUGUUUAAGGAUAUAUGGUUUAUGGUUUAGUGUUAGGGUUCAUGAAUAUGAUUUUGGGUUUAAAAUUUAAAUUUUUUUUUUUAAAGACUUUCAUAUUAAAUAUUUUUGGUUUUUUUUUUCAAACAUACAACGGC
Molecule: long non-coding RNA, 1163 nt
Filed under: Brassica rapa (field mustard)
Lineage: Eukaryota; Viridiplantae; Streptophyta; Magnoliopsida; Brassicales; Brassicaceae
Description: long non-coding RNA (BRAP_LNC004535)
Source: RNAcentral